AAUACUUAGUGGCGAACGGGUGAGUAAUAUGUGGGAAUCUACCUUUCGGUCUGGAAUAACAUGAGGAAACUUAUGCUAAUACCGGAUAAGCCUUUACAGGGAAAGCUUUAUGCUCCGAUUGAUGAGUCCACACUUGAUUAGUUAGUUGGUGAGGUAAUAGCUCACCAAGACAAUGAUCAAUAGCUGAUUUGAGAGGAUGAUCAGCCACAUUGGGACUGAGACACGGCCCAAACCCCUACGGGAGGCAGCAGUGGGGAAUCUUGCACAAUGGGGGAAACCCUGAUGCAGCGAUGCCGCGUGAGUGAAGAAGGCCCUUGGGUUGUAAAGCUCUUUCGUCGGGGAAGAAAAUGACUGUACCCGAAUAAGAAGGUCCGGCUAACUUCGUGCCAGCAGCCGCGGUAAUACGAAGGGACCUAGCGUAGUUCGGAAUUACUGGGCUUAAAGAGCACGUAGGUGGUUAAAAAAGUUGGUGGUGAAAUCCCAGAGCUUAACUCUGGAACUGCCAUCAAAACUUUUUAGCUAGAGUAUGAUAGAGGAAAGUAGAAUUUCUAGUGUAGAGGUGAAAUUCGUAGAUAUUAGAAAGAAUACCAAUUGCGAAGGCAGCUUUCUGGAUCAUUACUGACACUGAGGAACGAAAGCAUGGGUAGCGAAGAGGAUUAGAUACCCUCGUAGUCCAUGCCGUAAACGAUGUGUGUUAGACGUUGGAAAUUUAUUUUCAGUG
Molecule: ribosomal RNA, 721 nt
Filed under: uncultured marine bacterium
Lineage: Bacteria
Description: bacterial SSU rRNA
Rfam family: Bacterial small subunit ribosomal RNA
Source: RNAcentral